UCCUGGCGACAAUAGCGGCUUGGAACCACCUGAUCCCAUCUCGAACUCAGAAGUGAAACGAGCAUGCGCCAAUGAUAGUGUGAGGUCUCCUC
Molecule: ribosomal RNA, 92 nt
Filed under: Legionella wadsworthii
Lineage: Bacteria; Pseudomonadati; Pseudomonadota; Gammaproteobacteria; Legionellales; Legionellaceae
Source: RNAcentral